GCCAGACUCCUACGGGAGGCAGCAGUGGGGAAUAUUGCACAAUGGGGGAAACCCUGAUGCAGCGACGCCGCGUGAGUGAAGAAGUAUUUCGGUAUGUAAAGCUCUAUCAGCAGGGAAGAAAAUGACGGUACCUGAUUAAGAAGCCCCGGCUAACUACGUGCCAGCAGCCGCGGUAAUACGUAGGGGGCAAGCGUUAUCCGGAUUUACUGGGUGUAAAGGGAGCGUAGACGGUGAUGCAAGUCAGAAGUGAAAGCCCGGGGCUCAACUCCGGGACUGCUUUUGAAACUGUGUGACUGGAGUGCAGGAGAGGUAAGCGGAAUUCCUAGUGUAGCGGUGAAAUGCGUAGAUAUUAGGAGGAACACCAGUGGCGAAGGCGGCUUACUGGACUGUAACUGACGUUGAGGCUCGAAAGCGUGGGGAGCAAACAGGAUUAGAUACCCGAGUA
Molecule: ribosomal RNA, 445 nt
Filed under: uncultured bacterium
Lineage: Bacteria
Description: bacterial SSU rRNA
Rfam family: Bacterial small subunit ribosomal RNA
Source: RNAcentral